RNAcentral lists this ribosomal RNA (478 nucleotides) under uncultured bacterium. RNAcentral describes it as "partial 16S ribosomal RNA". It matches the Rfam family "Bacterial small subunit ribosomal RNA", at positions 28 to 507 of the family's 1533-position model. The record is from RNAcentral.
GAUGAACGCUAGCGGCAGGCCUAACACAUGCAAGUCGAGGGAGAAGCCCUUUCGGGGGCAGAAACCGGCGCACGGGUGCGUAACGCGUAUGCAACCUACCUUUCACAGGGGGAUAGCCCGAAGAAAUUUGGAUUAAUACCCCAUAAUAUUAUUGGAUGGCAUCAUUUGAUAAUUAAAACUGCGGUGGUGAAAGAUGGGCAUGCGUCCUAUUAGCUAGUUGGAGUGGUAACGGCACCCCAAGGCUACGAUAGGUAGGGGUCCUGAGAGGGAGAUCCCCCACACUGGUACUGAGACAGGGACCAGACUCCUACGGGAGGCAGCAGUGAGGAAUAUUGGUCAAUGGUCGGAAGACUGAACCAGCCAUGCCGAGUGCAGGAAGAAUGCCUUAUGGGUUGUAAACUGCUUUUAUAUGGGAAGAAUAAGGCGUACGUGUACGUUGAUGACGGUACCAUAUGAAUAAGCAUCGGCUAACUCCGUG